CCAGUUGAUGGGCUUGCUAUGAUUUACUUUGAGUGAGUGGCGAACUGGUGAGUAACACGUGGGAAACCUGCCCAGAAGCGGGGGAUAACACCUGGAAACAGAUGCUAAUACCGCAUAACAACUUGGACCGCAUGGUCCGAGUUUGAAAGAUGGCUUCGGCUAUCACUUUUGGAUGGUCCCGCGGCGUAUUAGCUAGAUGGUGGGGUAACGGCUCACCAUGGCAAUGAUACGUAGCCGACCUGAGAGGGUAAUCGGCCACAUUGGGACUGAGACACGGCCCAAACUCCUACGGGAGGCAGCAGUAGGGAAUCUUCCACAAUGGACGAAAGUCUGAUGGAGCAACGCCGCGUGAGUGAAGAAGGGUUUCGGCUCGUAAAACUCUGUUGUUAAAGAAGAACAUAUCUGAGAGUAACUGUUCAGGUAUUGACGGUAUUUAACCAGAAAGCCACGGCUAACUACGUGCCAGCAGCCGCGGUAAUACGUAGGUGGCAAGCGUUGUCCGGAUUUAUUGGGCGUAAAGCGAGCGCAGGCGGUUUUUUAAGUCUGAUGUGAAAGCCUUCGGCUCAACCGAAGAAGUGCAUGGAAAACUGGGGAAACUGGAGUGCGGAAGAGGACAGUGGGAACUCCAGGUGUAGGGGUGAAAUGGGUAGGUAUAGGAAGAACCCCAGGGGGAAGGGCGGCUGUCUGGUCUGUAACUGACGCGAGGGCUCGAAAGUAUGGGUAGCAAACAGGAUUAGAUACCCUGGUAGUCCAUACCGUAAAGGAUGAAUGCUAAGUGUGGAGGGGUUUCCGCCCUUCAGUGCUGCAGCUAACGCAUUAAGCAUUCCGCCUGGGGAGUACGGCCGCAAGGCUGAAACUCAAAGGAAUUGACGGGGGCCCGCACAAGCGGUGGAGCAUGUGGUUUAAUUCGAAGCUACGCGAAGAACCUUACCAGGUCUUGACAUACUAUGCAAAUCUAAGAGAUUAGACGUUCCCUUCGGGGACAUGGAUACAGGUGGUGCAUGGUUGUCGUCAGCUCGUGUCGUGAGAUGUUGGGUUAAGUCCCGCAACGAGCGCAACCCUUAUUAUCAGUUGCCAGCAUUAAGUUGGGCACUCUGGUGAGACUGCCGGUGACAAACCGGAGGAAGGUGGGGAUGACGUCAAAUCAUCAUGCCCCUUAUGACCUGGGCUACACACGUGCUACAAUGGAUGGUACAACGAGUUGCGAACUCGCGAGAGUAAGCUAAUCUCUUAAAGCCAUUCUCAGUUCGGAUUGUAGGCUGCAACUCGCCUACAUGAAGUCGGAAUCGCUAGUAAUCGCGGAUCAGCAUGCCGCGGUGAAUACGUUCCCGGGCCUUGUACACACCGCCCGUCACACCAUGAGAGUUUGUAACACCCAAAGUCGGGGGGUACUUUAGAACCGCCCAGAGGAGUUU
Molecule: ribosomal RNA, 1415 nt
Filed under: Lactiplantibacillus plantarum
Lineage: Bacteria; Bacillati; Bacillota; Bacilli; Lactobacillales; Lactobacillaceae
Description: bacterial SSU rRNA
Rfam family: Bacterial small subunit ribosomal RNA
Source: RNAcentral